UUCCGCUACUUGCCACAUCUACCCUCAGGCUUUCAUCGCUGGUCUUCAACAAGUGGGCUUGAUCUGAGCAUGAGGUAAACAGUGGCUGUCAGAGAGACUUGUGACGCACUGCCAAGUCAGGACAGGGACUUUUCUGGCCUUCCAUGCCAAAUUCCUCAAUAUAUUAGAUGUGGCUCCUCAAAGAAUGAAAAUUCAGAGGACCAAAAUACACAUCGUUCCAUGUCUCCUUGCUUCUCAUAAUGCUUCUCCAACAUCGUAUACACCUUUCUUCCUCUGCCUCAGCUCAGAAUUCUUUGUUCUGUUGAGACUUCUGCAUAGCUGAGGACUUCAAAGCCUCUGCUUAAUUUGUGUUUGUACUUCUAAGUACUGAAUGAAGGUGUUUGGUGGAGGCAGGUUCUUUCGAAGUAUUUGUGUAUAAACAUGAAAGUUACAACCUUCUGCUCCUUGCUGCUUUCAUCUUUUCAGGCUCAGAGAUAAAAAUGUAGUUGAGUUUUUGGACUUUACAGAAAGUUUUAUUAAAAGAAUGACUCAGGCUCAGAAGUUCUGCUGAGCUCCUUUUCUUUUUCUCCAUCUCUUGCCUUUUUUUUUUUUUUUUUUUUUUUUUUUUUUUUUUUUUUAAUUUCCCUUGUUACUUUCUCCUGCAAUCGAGCACUGGUAUCAGGCUGUUUUGGUAGAUGCCUUGUUGCACUGUUGCUCUGUGGGGCACCGGGGCUGUGUACCUGGCAGCUUCUUUUGUUAUAGACCCCGAAUCUGACCACUGCACAGCUCCUGUCACCACUGAUGAGGGUGAAGGUGUGAAAAACUGAGUGUUUCAGCAUCAUGUUGCCAGUUCUUCUCCAGAUUGCCAUGGAGAGACACACUAAGGAUGCCUUUCCAUUGACAACAGAGGGAACACAGAUGACUAACUUCAAUAUUGGCUUUUCAGAUCUUUUUUUUCCAUAUUUGAGAGGUAGUUGAGCUCAAGAAAUCUUUCAACACAAAGGUGAGAAUUGGAGCAGGAAUGGCAAUGAUCUUUUUGUACACAGAAACAUGACUUUGAACACCCCACGUCAUCCAGCAACGCAGAAAUAACUUCCCUCUCUGGUUUUCAGAAGGUUCCCAGCUUCCUUUUCUUUCUCUCUUUUCGGGUGGUUUGUCUACUUAUAUGAGGUUGCAUUCUUAUAUUGAUGCCAACUGUAAAGUAGCACUGGCAUGUAAAACAGCACAGUAUUUCAACUGUUGACACUUAUAUGCCUAGGUUAUAGUGCCUGGUAACUGUAAAGAUGUUAAUGAUAAAACCAGAGUAGGAUCAGGGACUCACGAGUCUAUGCAUUUUAUUCACUGCAUCACAGAAAUAGAGCAGUGUUAUAUAUGGAGGUCAGUGACAUACAAUACUUAUUUUGCUGAACCUUCCAUUAGUCCCAAUUUUCUUUUCGUCUUCCAACCAAAAUCUCAGCAAUGAGUGUCCUAGUUGCAAAUAUCAUCUCUUUGGAGAAAGAGGAAAUUAUCAGACAUCAGGAUAUUUGUGAGUGAAUCACCCUAGUUACUUGUAGGAUGAGCCUCAUACGCAUAUGGCUCCUCUUGGAAGCUUACUUGCUUGACUUGACUUUUGUGUCAGCUGGAAUCUGAUAAGUUAACUGUUAAUGACUUGUACCAGUGCAAUUGUUGGUCUUCCACCACUCAUUCCUUAUGAAAUAUUGUCAAAAGUUUACUGCUCCAAAAGCUAUACAGAGCUAUACUUUUAUCUUUUUUCUAAUGCUGAGCACAGUAGCUAUAAUAUAACCUUUCUGUGCUUGCAAUAAACCUCACUGAACUCCAUUACAACAAAUCUCAGUGCUUCACUUCAAGCACUUAAUUUGUACGUAGAGAAACAAACAAACAAACAAAAAAUCCCAACUAAUAUCCUGCAAAGUGAUUAACUCUUUUGUGUUAUUGCCAAUGUGACAUUCAUCCACAGACAUCCCAUAUUUCCUGGGAUUAAAAUACUGGCCAUGCUAAUUAGAAUGGGCCAAGGAUGUAGGAUAUCAGGCAGAAUUUGCAGCACUUUCCUUUUAAUGAAUAUUUUAAUGAGGAUUUUCCAUGUUCAAGUUCUAUCACCUGUACUGACAUGAAAGUGCAGUGCAAGCUUUCUUUUGAAGUCCACUAGGAUUUCCUUAAAGUUAUGGUCAGAUAAUUUCAUUGCUUGCAACUAUCAUCUCCCAGGUGAGAGGAGUCAAUUUCCUGCAUACAUUUGUGCAGACCAUUUCCAGCAAAUGUUGUUUAAGAUAUCCCUUUUUAUUCUGCAUUACAAGAUGCUGGAAUCACGGCAGCUUUCAAUUUCUGCAGUUCAGCUAAGAGUAGGUAAGUUCUUUAAAUAUGUAUUAGUAUAAAUUCAAUAUAUAUUGAUGUAAAAAAUGCUGGUUGGUUACUUGGUACCUGUGACCCUCCCUUUGCUAUCUGCUGUUACAAAAUCCUUAGAAAUCUGAGUUGUUGUUGAAAGAAAUGCCAUUGAGAUUUUUUUCUUCCCCAUUGAUUUUUCUGAAUUCCUCACAUUGCACUUGGUUGAAAAUCUCUGUGGUCUCCGGGGUUUGGGGCAUGAAGGAUUUGUAAGCCUGUAAAUCAAUGUGAUGCUCAGCAGAGGUACUGCAAUUCCUCACUGAAGCCCACCUCCUCUCUGACCUCAGUCAGCGUCUGGACAGCAGUCAGUCAUAUAGGGCACAUUAAAGGAUUAAGGCCUUAAUGACAAUUUUUAAAUGUCAUUAUUAAAUGGGGACUUCCAUCCUGCAGAACACUUGAAAAAUAACAUUUGUAAAUGUUUCCUGAGCACCGUAUUCCCUUUUACAUUAUUUCAUCUAUUUGCAUGCUAGUAAGAAUUCAUCUUCCUUUCUACUCAGUCUCUGCUUGAGCAGUUCAACAAUGAAUUCACAAUUCUGAGUUUUGUGCUGUCAAGAUUUUACUUAUAUUUUUAAAAAAUAAUAUCUCAAUAAUUAAUUACAGAUAAAUUAUUGACAAAGCAGCAGCAGAUGCAAAGGAUGAGUGCUCUGUAUCUGAGAAGCUUUUCAAGCAGUUAUCUUUGCAAUAGCACUGAUCUAUAUACAUUUUAUACUCUCUUUUCAGAAAUAAAUCCGCAGCUCGUCUGGCAUUUGUUGCUUCAUGUGAUACUACAAACUACUGAGAAAAAUCAGCAUUUCAUCUCCAAGUAUUUCCUUAACCAAUAUACAUGUCUGUUAAAAAUAUCUCCUAAGAGAAAAAUACACCAGUGUAUCUACACUUUGCUUCUCUGAAGAAAGCUCUGCAUAUUUAGGGAGCAUAGCUUUGCUAUCAGAGACACUGUCAAGUUAACUACAGAUACAUAAUUCUGAAAUGUUCUGCUCGUUUAAAAAUGUCUGAAUGUUCAUAUAUCAUUAGUAAGAAUACUGCAGUUAAUUAGUUACAUAGUUAGUUCAAAAAUGUUGUUGAAGCUUCAGUGCCAGCUAAAAGAAUGUUUUCAGGCUCUUUUCUCAGCUUUGUGAGUUUCUGUGCAACUCUAAGCCUCAGUAAGUUUUUGGGUAUGCAGUGUUAAUCUGAAGUAAUGUGAGUUAUGCCGACUCCCUCUUGAGCUACUGACCCAAGGCUGGAAGGCACCUCCGGAGUUAUUCAUUCCAACCUCCUGCCCGAGGUGGGUUCAAUGCCAAGUGCAGGUCAGGUUGCUCAGGGCUUUGGGCUGAGUAUGCAGAGUCCACAGACUUUCUGGUUCCUUGCUUCAGUGCUUAAUCCUAAUGAAGAGCUUUUUUUUUCCUCAUGUCCUUGUGAUUAUUGUCCCUCACCCUUUAAUUGUGCUUCUACAGGAGAAGCAUGGCUGCCUUUUCUGUAAUCUCCUUUCAGGUAGCGAAAGAGAACAACCCAAUUCCUCACCAGCUUUCUCAACUCCAGUCUGAGCAUCCCUAGUGCUUUCAGCCUCUCUGUGUUCAGGAUGUGCUCCAAUCCAUGCUGAUGGACUUUGGCUGGGCUCUCCCCCAGGAUGUCAGCAAACCAAGUUAUAUCUUGUUGGUCCCAUCAGGUAUGAGUGUGCACACUUGCUGUAACUCAGGUGGCGCACACACCGGUCUGGUAAUCUGUGAUAACCAAGCAAUGCUAACCAGUUCCAGAAACAUGCAUAGUUUUCUUCCAGAUCUCCAAAUCAGACUGUAUCAAUAUACUCUGCUACUUCGUAUCUCUGCAGAGAAAUGGCUUUGAAGGGCUAAGUGUGGCAGACAGAGUCUUCCUCUUUAGCAUGAAUGUAAAAUAUUUAAGAGUUUAGACUAAGGAAGUAAUUUCAGGGCCUAGUUCACCAUUACAGCUCUCCUCAUGAAGAAUCCAUCUUCAAAGAGAUACUCCAAGGCCAGGGAUGCCAAAAAGUAUAUUUCCAUUGACUUCUGCACACUUUGAUUUCUGUUCUAAAGACAAUCCAAUUUUCAACUAAGCUAUCAAUUGCAUUUGGUGGAAAACAUGGGCCAAUUUCCCAUUUCAUCUACCUCAAGGAGAGAGGGCUGCACAGCUGGACUUCUGUUUUCAUGAAGCAGAGCAUAAAAACCACGCUUCUUGUUAACAACACCAAGAGCUCUGCAUGGGGAAAUGAGCUGCCUUCGGAAAGGCACAACUCAUGUUUUAGCCUCAGAAUCCUUUUCUCUUCUAAAGGUCGCAGUGCAAUUUUAAACUCAGAAUAUUGCAAUGCAUUUAAAUGUCUGAAAUCUAGGGUAAAGAAGAUUUACUAAUAUGAAAUAGAAAUGAAGGAAUCACAUCUACCUUCCUUCCGCCAGAACUGACUCAUCCCAGGAAUAACAAUUUCAAGCACUGGGAAAAUAAAAGUGGCCUUUUGGUGCCGUAACCUUAAACUUGAGACCUUGCUGCUCCUCACUGUACAGAGGGGUGAUAGCCUCUGUAAUAAGAGGGCUGUGUUGGUGCAUGAGGAGAGAGCUGUGGGUUUGUUUAUUGUGACUUUAACAGGUGACUUUCAACACUGUCCACUGUCAUUUCCUCAUAGGCAAACUGACAAAGCAUGAGGCAGGUAAGUGGAAAGUGAUAUGGGAAAAAACUGGCUGGACAGAAGGCCUGGAAGUACAUUGUAUGAUAUUGGGUAUUCUAUAGAGGUCAUUAGGAACUGAUAAAUCCUUAAUACUGCUUUGAGAGAAAUUCAGAGCAAGACUUUAUGGUAACUGAGAACAUUUUUUAUAGCACAAGAUUAUGAUAGACAUAUAUUAAUUUUUCUCUAUGAAAAUUCAAGCUUUUAUACAAACAAUAUUUUCCAAGGAAAUACUUUGUUGAAGUAUUUGGAUCUUACAUAUAAACAUACCAGUUGUUCUAUCUAUAGGACAUUAAAAAACAGCAAAAUACCCUCAUGACUAUAUUUCCUUAAUAAAAAAAUUGAUGAAAUUGUAACUACGUAAGCAUGGGUGUAUUGACUUUUAUUCCUAACACAGAUUUAACUGCAAAGGCCUGGUAAAAUAGAGAUCAAAGCAUCUACCAAGCUGCUCACUUAGCUCUGUAAAAGCACAUACUUAGAAGACAUAAGAAAAUGAUAGUAAAUAGAGAUUUACAAUGUAACUUGUAAUGGAAAUGUAAUUGGGGGUUCACUGUACUAAAUCCUGUUGAGGAGAAAAAGCCUUGGACUCUGCCUGGAGAGAGAACAGGAUGAAAGACAGAGUUUUAUUGCACUUUUGCCUAAAGAGAAGGUGAAUAACCGAGUCACACCAGAAAUCUGAAUCAGUACUGAAUAUGAAAGCUGGAUCUGAUUCCUCAUCUGAUGUCCUCAUGCUAAAACAGUCUUUCCUUGUUUUAUAAAGGGAAGGGGAAAAGCUAUAUUCCAAAUUACCUCUGCACUAUGCACUUGAAUUAAGGAACAUAAAGGAGUGUACUGCACUGUGCAAGCAGCAGUGGACUGGCAUGAAGAUAGAUGGUGUCUGAGAUGAGAUGGGGUGAAGAGAAGAAGCAAGAGGGUUUUCUCCAUUGCAGUGAGUCAUGUAAAGCAAGAAAGCACAAGUAAGCUGAGGAUUUUUUCCUUUCUUUUUCAGCUGCCACAAAGAAGCCAUCUCAAUACACACAAUUAAAGCAACCUGGACUCCUUCUGUGCACAGGGAGCGAUUGUUUCUUGCUUGCAGAGGGAAAUGCACACACACGUGCAGGCACACACUUAAGAAUGGUUAAAAAAUGUCAUAUUUGACUUCCUGGCCCGCUUGACAAUUCUCUUCAAAAAUAGCCCUCAUGGCUGCAGGCUGGCAGAGCUGCUCCUGCCCUGAUUUAAAUGACAAAACUCAAUUAGAGUUUGAAUCUGUUGCACUGAAAUGGAAUUGUCUCUUGCAGGCAGAGCUCGGUCACGGAUGCGACGUCGGGAGCUGUGGAGGCUGUGCCUGUGGGGAGGGCAGGCUGGGGAGCCUCUGAGCUCCUCGGAGCAUGGAUUUCCCAUCUGCUGUUGCUCUGAAAAGGGAACUCCAUUGCUGUUCUCCACAUGUAUACAAGGACCUGCUGCUUCUUGUCAGCUUUUUCUGUCUGACCACCUCCAUGCUUGAGGAAGCCCAGGGGUGGCAGUGACCUGAACUCGACUAUGUUCAUGAGGACAACCUCCCUUAGAUUUGCCCCUCUGGCUUUGUACAAACCUCUUUCCCCUCCCAGGCACUUGUGAUGAUUUUGGCUGAGCUGGAGCUAAGGCAGUGGCAAAAUGUUUGACUUUCUGGUAACAAGUUCACUACAGGAGAUUCCCCAAUCCCUCACUGCAGUCUCAUAUCUCUCCUUGUCCCACAGCAGGCUAUUUCCAGACAUGGAGGGAGGCACUUCAAUACUGCCUCUGCUCCUUGUAGAUCUGAGCUCACCUCAGCAUUUUUCUCAUCAGCAUGCAUUGAGAUGUAUGUCUAGGAAUCAAUGACUGCCCCAUGCCUCUCUUAUCUGGGAUCUCAGCCUAACCCUGGUCUAUAAGUCACUUGUGUUAAACUGUUCCUCAUAAAUAGCAGCUUCCAGCAUGUCUUUCAUCUGUAGCUUGUAUUUGUGUGUGAGAGGCAGAAAACAGGUCUAAUUUAUUUCAGUGCAGCUGGCUCCUCUGAUCUGCCACCUGGAGACUCAGCUGACCAGGAUGUGUGUCCUGGCAAAGGGGCCAGGACUCUGCUCCGUCUGGCUGUGCCUAUCUCUGCACUGGCCAUGGGGCAAAAGUACCCCUCACCCAUCCCUCAGGAACCUGCUGGACCCACCUGCAGUUGGUGCUGUGGACCACAAGAAGGAUGCACUUCUCCAAGCAGCGCAGCAGACUCCAGUGAUCCUCUCCCAAGACUUGCAGUACAGAGAUUUAAAUGAAUUUAUGGAGAAAGACGAGGAAAAUGGCUCAUGCGUUGGUGGGAUGGAGUGGCAGGCAGGCAGGGCCUGCCAGUAGAUGCCUGACAUACCUGGGGUUGUGUAUGUCCCUUGAUGAACGUCAGAGCUCCUCAGUGAGGAGGGAAGUUGUUCUCACCGGAACAAAUCCCACUGAGAUGGGCAGAGGAGAUUUACCCUGGACUACUCUUUUUUUUCUAGAGAUAAAAUCACCUCAAGUGCAAUAUAGGAGGGGUCAAUGUGAAAAUGAGCCAAUUCACCCCUGCGCUGUCCCAGGAGAGGACAAACUCUUCAUUUUAACCUACGAGGAUGUGCCCUAGGGCCUACCUGCUGCUGUCUGACCUUCCAGACAAUCAAAAAUCAACUCAAAUCUCAAGACCUGGCUAGCUCUCUUGGAGACUCUGAAUGAGAGACGGGGUAGAUAAACUCAGUGUGGUAUUUUCCCUCUUUGCAUACUCCUGGAACUACAAAACCAGUUAAAAGGAAGAGAGUGGACUAGCCAAGAAACAGAAACAGUGAAACAAAGCCCUGGCUGAUGUCCAGUUCCACGUGACAGGUAGGGCAAGUUGUGUGCCCAGCCCCCUUCAUGCAAGUGGACGGAUCCCCGACGAGCACCUCUCCUUGGCCAGGACGUGGUUUUUCAGCCUGUGGGUGUUCCUAGAAGGCGAGAUGGGAGGAAUGGAUUGAUCCGAGUUCCCCUUGGUUUGCUCGUCCUCCAGAGGGGUCCUCCCUCCUGUACGCUGGGAGAUUUGCACUGGAGCUCUGGCCCUGGUGUUACCUGUUAUUAAUUCGUUGAGUUCCAUGAACAUAUUUUGCGUUCUUGCCAGAAGAGGUCCAAACCUCAGUAACUUAUUGCUUCAGCCAAAAGAAGUCUAUAAAGAGUCAGUUUACUUAUAGAAAUCCUGUUGAUACUAUUUUUUUACCUGAGCAAAACAAACAUAUUUUUCUGAAAGGAAAAAACACCCUUUGGCCGAACUGUCAGAUCUCUGCAGUCUAAAAGUUCAGGCAGCUUUUCUUUGGGCAAUAUUAGAGCCACAAUGGGCUGUUCCACGCAACGCUUUGUGUACCAACCUUUGCAAUCUUUGUUACAAAAGGAAAAAUGGUGAGUAGAGAAGAGGAAAGGAGAGAAGGUUUUACCAACCACCUUUUUCUUUCAUAAAGUAGGAGUUAUAUUUAUUCCCUUCUGUAGUGCUCUAAGCUUUUCUCCUUCACCUGCAAAACACCUAAAUCUCUUUAAGGCUGCAGAUAACCCCCUUCACUGCAGUAUCUCCUUAAGGGAAGCCACCUUAGACAGGAGGAUGUUUGAAGAACCGGGAGUCCUGCUCCAGUGGACUCCCAAGACACAGAGUACUGUUUUCUUCUGACAUUCAUCAACCAUUGUAUAAAAGUGUCCAGGAAUCCUGGUCAGUGUAAAUGACUACAGGACUUCAUUUAUGAUGUCAUAGGUAUUCUUCUUCCUCUUUUUAACAGUCUCAGAAAAUGUGAAGCCAGAAUGGACUAUUAAAUCAUCGUGAUUUGCUCUCUGAUGUGUAAUGUCUUCUAUUACGUAGGCAUUAAUCUCCAGCAGAUACCACCCGCAAGGUAAAAAGAUGUCAUCAGAGCUAAGAAUGCUUUAAAACUACAAUGGAGGAAAAAUGGGUAGAAAAUACUUCUGAAAAGACGUCUCCCACUGAUAAAAAGGUAAGUGUCAUCCUUCCCUUCCUUCAUUCAGAUCCUGUGGUCUCCAAGACCCUGAGAAUCCAAACAGGUAAUAUGACUGAAUCAUCUAACUACAGUGCAAGGGAGCUCUUGUUUUCAGUCAUGUCCGUAAGCGUCAGCAGUGUGUCAGAAUCUGUUCUUUUCCUAUUUAUAACCUGACAAAUGGAAUCUUCCAGUAUAUGUAAUAUAUUCACAAGGCUAGGAGGAGGUUAGGAGGCAGAUGCGUGUUUUGGAACUUCCUAUCCACCAAACUAGCCUGUUCUAAUAAUUUAAGGUGUUGUCAAACCAAGUAAAAUGAUUCCCAUGAUGGUGCUGUGUAUGCGUCAGUUUCUACUGGAACAACGUAGUCUGCAUUUUGGCUGCUUAGGAUUGGAUUUUUAUAAUAUUUCUCCCCCUGUCCCGCUCCCACAUUGCAGUCAGCAUGAUCUUAUUUGAUCUGUACUGGCAAUAUAAAUGCAAGAAUGAGGACAUGUUUUAGCAGCCCCUUUAGCUUAUAUUGAUGACACUUUUAACCUGAGCCUUUUCAUUAGCACCCUACCAAAAUAUUUGGAUUGGAAUUUGUAUAGGAACUGUUGAAUCACAGCCUGAACCUCUGAUCGAUCUCCUGAGGCAAGCACUGAGUCAGUCACAGGACCACAGGUGAAGGCAAUUCACCUGUGUGAACAGAAGGGGUGUAGCCUGGCUGCACCUCUCCUAGACCUAGAUUUAAGGGCUGACUGCCACCAGGAAAGGAUCUGUUCCUGGAGAUCAUUCCCUUUGGAGUUUUUCUGUGAGCCCAGGAUACAGUAAGUAAGAAAAUACCCCAAGGACACUGGAUCUCAGCAUUAAAUCCAAGCCUCUGGAAACAGCCUCCAUAAGACAAACAAGGAAAGAAAGAAACCCCGCUGUCCUGCCAAGGGCAGCCACGUGCUUCCAGUGUCUUCAUUCUCAGAGGGAAUGCUGCUGUCACCAGGCAGAGCUGUGCUAGGAGGAGAGCAAUGAAGCCUCUUUGGACCAACCUGAUGUCUCUGCAGCUGGAUAGGUGCAAAUCAUGGCUCUUCUGUACUUUUCCAUAAACUAAGGUGGGGACUAUUUACUGAGCUAUGGGCGAAUUAUUAUAGCAGCUAAAAUAAAAUCAAAGCUGUGAUUUCCCUUUUCAAAGCACGCUGCAGGCUUUGUUCACUUUCCCUGAUAACUUUAUUCCAAGGCAAUACUAGUGACUUUAGGGAAAUCCCUGUGAUAAUCGCAGAGUCAGACAGUAACACUGCCAUUUUACACAUAAAAGGGACAAGUACUGACCAUGGUGUCACAUACAGAAUGGUUUCAGCUGUGUUCUUUCACUUCCUUUUCAAAAGAGAGUUGACUUUGGUGAUCAGACAUCAGACAAACAUGCCCCAACUUUCUCUCUGCAUCUGUGGCCUACUCAGGGGAUCUCCAUUCUGUAUGGAUGCAAAAAGCCCUGAAAGAGUAUUCAGAGGCUUAAAGAAUCAUUUUUUUUAAGAGUCGGAAGAGAGACCUGUGAACUGUUUUAAUGAUUUUUCAGUUUGAACAGAACCAGGUGCUUGAUUAAAAUCUCAGCAGCUGGCAUUUCAAAAACCUCACUGUGGACGUGAUCUAUCCACAAAAUACAGUGAAAGAGAGAAGAAAGAACAGUUUCUAGACGAGGGCUUUGUUUAUGCUGAGAAAAUAGGCAGAUGUGAUGGCUUCCACAAUGCUGUGGGUAAAGGUCCUCUGAAGAGGUAAGAUGGCAUCUGGUACAGCAGGAGGGGACACCGACCUUGUGUCCCACUCCUGGGACUUGGCAGGAUGCGGGGUCAAUUGCAGUCAGUGCGUUUCACAGGAGUUCUCGCUGAUGUACCUGGGAUCACUUUUCUCUGUGGUGGAUGAAAUAAGCCUGUGACAGCUGGAGAGGGAUUGCACAGAUUUAGUUUCUUAGGUAAACUAUUACCAACACUCAUGGUGCUGAGACUUUAUGGAGUAGUUCCUGAAUGAUAACAAGAUGCCAUUUGAUUUUAAAUCACUCUCUGUACAACACUGCCAGCAGUGCGCACAAGAUCUACGGGCAGUUAUCCUAGCUGAAAAUCAGAGCCAAGCUGCGGAAUGAAGACAGGAAAGCCCACUUCACAGAGGACAGGGAUGAAACCUCAUAAGUCAUCUGUCAGGGGGAGCUGAGCCCCAGCACGAUGUGAUGUGGAGGUGUGGUACGUGACAUCUGGGCACUCCCACUGCGCUGCUGGCUGCAGCCAUCUGGUGGGUAUUUUCCUGUCUUUCAUUUGGCUGCUCUUCCAAACGUCCUCAUACAACUUUUUAAAGUUACUAAUCUGGCAAAUUCUGUUUCCUUGGGUAUUUCUGACUGUCUCUGUUGCCAUAAAUGUGAGAAGACUGUAAGUGCCAUAGGAUGGAUCCAUAUGCUACCCAGCAGAUAUCACUCCAAGACAGCUGGGGUGGGUUUCUUAUAUGCUGUGAUAGUUUCUAACUUUUGCCAGGAAAUAUCAAUUGGUGCUUGACGUGUUAAACUGAAAACUCAGAACAAAAUUCAGCAAAGAAAAUAAAAUACUAUUUGGUGAGUAAUUUGAACAUCAGCUAUUAUAAAAUAUACUACUUUUAGAAAGAAAAAUCAUCUCAGCUUGUCUAUUUGCUAUCAGUCUCUAUUUUCUGAGUUUUCAUAGAUGUAGACUAAAAAAAAAUCAUAAAAAUACACUCAACAAAACAAACAAAAAAACCCAAAGCAGCUUUGCUUUUAAUGCAUCGGAAAGUCCAGCAAAAGAAUUUGAGUUGAAACUUUAAAAUCAUUUAAUUGAUACUACUCAAAAUUUAUAAUUGAAUACACGAUUCAACCUAAAUUUCUACUUUCUUUUAAGGUAUAUUUGCUAUAUGCCAUUCCAAGAGACUUCUUAAAAUAUGCAAAUUUUUUUCAACUUCAGACUGAAUUUAGUAUUUAUUCUGAACCGUUGAUGGUUUGGAUAGGUUAGCUAUGAAUUACAUUGUCAUUAGAUUUCAAAAUCCAGACAAUCUGUGUGAACAACAUCAGUGAAAUAUAGUAUAUUAAAAUCCUAUUGUUAUUCAUAGGUUGAAUACUCAGUGGAUGGGCCAAAACCGUUACAAUUUCAGUGAAGUCAGUUCAACUUGGGUCAAUUUACUGUUUUUUUUUUCCUUUAACACAGUGUUGUCUUGCUUUCUUUUCCAUGAAACCUCUCAUGCUGGCCUCCAAAUUUCUUGGCAGAUUUUUUUUUCUCUGAAUUCUACAGAUCCUCUCUCUCUCUAUAUUUUUUUCAGGGAGUUAAACACAAGCUGUAGCAAACUCAACAUUGGGCAAAUACUAAACAGUAUACAAUAGAAAAAUGCAAUGAGAUGGGUGGUGUUUGCAGUUCAAGAGUAAAAAAAAAAAAUACAUCUAUGCUUUGCAUAAAAGAUUAACAGCUUGAUCCUGUUUUCAUGGUGUCAGUGGGAGUUCUGCCACCAUUCAGCAAGGGAGGGAUUAGAUCCUUGAGAUAUUUGAUGAAAUGGUUUGGCCAAGGAUUAUACCCUUGAAUAUGCAAAAGCACACAAAAACUGCGGCCAAAAUAGACUCGAAACUUAGUACCUGUCUCUGGUGGCUGAACAGUAUGUGAGAUCCUGUUUUGAAACCAGGGCUGUUCUCUGUAAUUCAUUGAACAGGUUUGGUAGAGAGAGCGCAGAACAUUUUUUCCACAGGGGUAUUUGAUGGAAGGUUCAAAUACACAAAGCCAAAGAACUUAAAAUGGAUCUCAAGUCAUGACCUAGGGGCUAUGCUUUACUUGUACAGGAAAGCCUUAAUUCUUCCCACUUUCUUAGCAGGCUCCUUCACCAUUGAUCUCUUAACUUCUUCUAGAACGGAUGAAAUAAACCUCAGAGACAGCACAAUUAUGCACAUUUUAAGAUACAGAGAUUUAUAAAGCAUGAAGAAAAUUAUACUUUGAAGAUCUUUGCAGAGCUGUGAUUGUAAGAUCUACGGAGGGAUAUAUGCAGCUGAUGUGUCCCUAUGGCGUUUGACUGUUUUCAAGUCAUUGUUAUGAAGAACGUUUGCAGAAAAAACCUUGGCACUUGAUCUGAUUUCUCACAUUUCCCCCUCUGAACUCCACGCCCCUGAUGAAGAACCAGACAGGAACGGGACCGGCUGCUCUGUAUGGAGGAGGGCUACAGAGCAGUCUGUGAGAUGGUUCGCAUCACCACUUGCUGUACUGAAGGCAGCAGACAUAGAUGUUAAGCUCAGUGAAAAGAAACUGCAAUGCAGUGCAUCAGCAUCGGGAACAAUAAACAUAAAUCUGACACCUAAUAGUUCUUUCAGAGAAUUGAUUUAAAGUCUGGAUUAUUUCCCAUCCCGGGCAUGCAUCAUAUCCCCCAGCAGCAAACUGAAGGAUGUACCGUGACCCUAGUUACUACAGAAAUGUUCAUGGAUCAGAGACCCUGCAGUCAACCUUCUUGUUCUGACCAAUCAUUAACCAGGAGGAACAUUGUGGAGCUGCCGCUGCUUUUUCCUGAGUUACUUUAACAGACUGACCACAGGCAUGUUCCUUCGUCCUUAGAAGAGUUCCAGAAGAUUAGUCAGCUAAACCUGACAAGGCUUCUGGGAAGCUGGAAAGGACUUGGCUCAGCAUAUUAGGAACUAAGUGAUGAUGACAACCCUGUGGAUUUGUUCACUCCAUCCUAAAGAGGACUUCCCGUCAUAGUACUUUGUGCAUGGAUUUAGGAAAAUUUGAAUGAUUCAAGUAGAGAUCCAUGCGUCUCUCUGGCAUGUACUCCCCGAGGGAGCUGCAAUCAAAACUCCAGGGAUGGAAAGCCAGAGACAGAACCACAUGGAUGAAGCUCUGCAUUGCUCGAGAAUACCUCCUUCAGACACAUCAUCUUCUUCCCCUGCACUUGUCUUUCACGUACUUGAUUCUGGCAGUGGCAUUAUGAAGAACUACAGGACUGAAGCAGUAAUGACACUGCAUUCCCUGCAGAACAAAGAGCUGCUUCUGCCACGCUGUGCGUUGUGUUCCAUGACAGGCUUAUCCAGCAGAACCAGGGAAUAACCUAACCGGACCGAGACUGCAAAGAAACGCAGUCCUGAAAUGAGCAAGAACUGGAUUUAACACCCAAGUUUUCCUAGUGAGAAAAGUACCUCCAAAAAUUAAACCAAACCAAAGGUGACCUGUGUGUCUUGUGCAAGGAGGAUCAGCUCUGCUCCAGAAGCCACGGCUGUUUCACUGACUGUGACAUAGCGAAAACUAAACGGCUGGCAUAUCAGCCCACCAACAGACAGAUCACAUGCCUUCCACCAAUGAAGUGAGCUAUCUGAUGCUAGCCUUGCUGAAGCUUCAAGUCCCUGCUGCUCUCCCUUUCUUCAGAGAGAACUCCUGCCGGGUUGGUGAUGUUUGCUCACUCAUUGAAAUCACAGAGCUGGUCCACAGCUGCACAAGUUUCACUGCUGGGAGGCUGCCUUCUGCUAGUCGAGUACCAUGGGAAGGAUCAAGUGGAGGAGAGCUGCACUAAUCAGAAGACACGCUGUCUGGGAAGCAAGCCCAUUUUGUUCUUCCAGAAUCCCUCCCACUGCAAGCACCAGACCUCAAAAUGACCCAGAGAAAGCCUCUCCAAUCCAAGUAAUUUAAAUGCAAUGAAUGUGAUUUGGCUUCUAGUUAGUUCCCUUGGAAGUAAUGAAAGAGGUAAUUAAAGACUGGACAACUACCUUAAGUAAAACAUUACACCUUAGAGCAAAAACAUUUCAGAAAAAACUGUUUGGAGGCUGUGAAAGCCAACUCCAUGCCUGCCUGAGUGGGGAACACAGCAUCUUUCUGUAGGUCCCACCACACUUCCACACACAAGCUGUGAAAAGAUCAGAUAAGUGGUAAGAUUUUCCUACACUGUCCUUUCCACCAACAUUACUUCUGACUGCAAGCUGCAGUUUUUCCUCAUCCAGUCCUCCUAUGCUGUCCUGAAACACUUGCCCUGAACUUCUAGCAGAAGAGUCAGGGAAAAGAAAAUGCUGAAACUACGUUUUACAGAUUAUGACUUGCAUCUGGAGAAAGUGGAUCACCCUGGUUAAAGGUCUGACACAGAGUGAAAAAGAGUCACCCAGGAGCACCUUCGACAAGUGAAUUUGAUUAGCGCCUUGCUUUUGAGGAAGCACAAGUAUUACCAGCCCCAAAAAAUACAUCCUAACAAUUUAGUGGAUGGUGCUUCUGUGAUAACAACAGAACAGGUAGUAAAUUUCUUCUCCAAAUUAAAGUGGAACAACAUCUGCUAUUCAGUCAACAAACAGUGCCUUCUAUAAGAUCCUAAAAGCAAUUUCUCAAAAAAAAAAAAAAAAGUAAAAUAUCCCAAACCACUUUAAGUAUAUUUACCAAGGUGAAGAUAAAAAGCAGCAUAACUCUAUCUGUGCACACAUCAGAGCAACAACCCAACCACCACAUAAUUUUAUUAAAGCACAUAAUGAGUGCUCAACUAAACUCUCUAUAGUAAUUCUGAGUAUAUCUUUGCUCACUCAACAUUUGUCCAUAAACAAUGGGUGCCUAUGAUCAGUUGAAGUGAGCAGUACCAGGACUAAUUCAUUUACAGCAUUCAGCUUCAACCCUUGCAGUUAAUUCUACACUACAGACUGCUUUACCAGCCCAUAGCACAUCUUAACUAGAACAGGGACUUUGAAAUGCAGUUUUGCUCUACCACCAGCAAUUAUUUCUGUCCUUAUGGUAUGCUUUAUCAGCUGCAUAUGAAGCAUAAGGAACUCAUGGAAUCUCAGAAAAAGCAAACAUCACAGUAGAUCUUUGUAAGCAAGCUUAAUGCUAUGACGCAAUGGAAAAUACAGCAAUAAUAGCAGGAUGACACAACUCUAGGCUGCAGCAAAUGAGAACAAGCUCAAAAAACAACAGCUAUAAAUGCAGAAACAAAAGAAGAAAAACUGCUUACCUGUAGAAGACCUUCAGUAGACAGGAACCUCCCACAGAAGAUACCUUUACCUCCGCUGCCAACCCUUAAAUGAGGUCUGGGAGGGGAAUGGAUCCUGGCUCCACCCCUUCUCGUCACUCAGGAGCAUUGCAUGCACCUGAGCUCCCCUGGAUUGGCCCUGCCUUCCCACCAGGUGCUCAAUCACCGUUUCAGGUCAUGACAUUUCCACUACAUCAGGUAUGAGUGUUUUGGAGAACUAUCGUUUGAAGAAUGCAGCUGCUUUUCACUGGUUGGUAUCUACAUGUGUAUGGAGUUCUGUGCAGUGGUUGAAUGUGCAGCGCUUCGAGACCUUUCGGUACGCGGGGAGAUUAAGGAACCACAGAGCUUGAGAGAGAGGAGUUUGCAUCCCUUGUGAGAAUUCUGAUAUCCCUGUGUUCAUAUAUGUUGAUAUUCUCUUCUGAAUGGUGACCUGUUUACGUUGGAUGGAGCCUAAAGACCCAAAGACCCUGGAUAUCCUUGGACUGAGUUGCUUAAGGACACGUUGCUUUCCAAAGACCCUGAAGAAUGGUGUGCUACCAAGGAUUUUUCAGUCCCAGCUGGCAGCGGAGGGGCGGUCUGACAAAAUGGCACCUGACAUGGAACUGUGGAUGAGGAAAAGGUGUGGAAUUGAAUUCUUCCAUUCAGAAAAAAAAAUGCAUCUAUUGAAAUCUUGGUAUGUCUCUGGCUAUAGCACUGUCACCCUCUGGGCCAUGAAGCAGUGAACUGUUUCGCUACUCAGUAGCAAGGAAGUUAAGUUUGUCUAUCCUGGUGAGAUUUGAGGAGAAAAUCUGUUGCUGAGGACAAGAAGUGCCUGUAAGUUUGCCGGGCAGGACAAAUAUGAGCUCCCAUCUAUUGUGCUGGCCGUAGGAACAGACCAUCACCUCUCCCUUUCCCAGACUAAGCUCCAAUUAAUUUCCACUCAGAGGUAAACUCUGAUACUCGGAUACAGUGAACAAAUACAAGUAUUCAGACUGGCUCCUUUUAGGAGUAUGUGCAGCGGAACAGCUCUGCUCCCCCAGACAAAAUACUUUUUAUGUGAAGUAGGCUACAAUGAAAUUCAGUGACUCUGUUUCUUAGUAGCAGCAUCCACUAGGCAUUGUACUAAAUUUUAACAACGGAACUUAAAAUACUUAUUCAGAUUGGUGCUUCUGACUGUCCGUACAUUGCAAUGUCUGCAAUUAAAAUACAAAAGUAUGAGUAUUGAUUGCAAAAAUAACAUAUAGAUAGAAUAGAAUUCAUAUAGUUCAGAAAAUACUUAAGGUUUGUACAGUGAUGUGACUUUCUGAGGCAUCUAUGGUUAGUGGGCAGUAUUGGUGGCAGGUGGACGGUUGGACUAGAUGGUCUUAGAGGUUUUUUCCAACCUUAAUGAUUCUAUGAUCCUUGAAUACAAGAUAUUGCAUCUCAAGGACUCAUCUCCAGGCUUGCUUCCUAGCAAAUCGAUCUUUUCAACUGCUUUUUCUUGCUAGUUGAGCCUUUAUGCUGGUCUUUUCACGCAAAAACCAGCGAGGAGUCUGGGGAGUGAGGGCAACAUCCUUUCAGAGCACAUCUUUCAUGGAUGAGUGCAAUACUUUGUUUUGAAAAAGCAAAAAUCAGUGAGUGUGACAAAGAGCCGCUCCCAAAGCUGCAGCUGCCUUCUGAGCAGCAGGUAAGUUCUGUGGCUGAUGAGCAGGGAAGCCACAGGAAAGCAGUUAUCAUGGCAUCAGUGUGAGAUCAGAGUGCCUUUUGCUUGAAGCGCUGAGAGAAGGCAAAGAGGGGAGGAGAGGUUUUGCAUUGGCUGUGCCAAUCUGAGCCUUGUUUGCUCUGCAUUUGAGAGGUCUGAGAGGGAGAGUUAGCAUUUCUGAGUGCAUUUUUGAGCAGCAGUUCUUCUACUCUGAAGUUGGCCCUGAGUAGACUGGGUCCAUCACCUCAGUCCAUCAUCUCUCCACCUCGAGGGAAGCAUGAGAUCCUCUUCCUUGGCUGCUCCAUGCUGUGUGGAGGAGCUGAGGAGGGGUAGGAAGGAAGUUAAUGGGAAAUUAAUGGCAAGCAGGGCAGGAAAAAUGAGAUUGGAGGAGAGCGAUAAGAAGGGGUUUCCUGGGUCAUGGAGUACACUGCUGAGAUACACAAACAAAGUACAGAUCGAUUAAUUAAAAUGGGAGUACUUAAAAAUGAGUUAAUUAAAGAUUAAUUGAUUAAUAAUUGGUUACAUAAUUUGUAAUCACUAUAAUUACAUUAAUUGAUUAAUUAGAAGUAACAUCUAUUAAAAUGUAUCAAGCUUUAGGUCUGGUUGGUGAGUUCACUCUCACUGAUUUAUGUAUUCUUCUGGUUCCUUUCCCUUGCCUGACAACUGCAAACUUUCCUAAAAUUCUGGCUAAGUUGAUUCGUGACCACAUUUAUCUGGUUUGUUCUUGUUCCCAUCUAGAGAAGAGUAUGUACGUAGCCUGACUCAGUGUGAUGGCUCUGCCAGCUGUGCUGUGUGACCUCCAAGUGCAAAGGUGACCACAGCCAUCUGCCUGCCCCUGCCCUCAUGGGGUGCUGGGGUCAGAAUGAAACCAGAAGCACGGUGCUGCUAACUCUUAUCAGGGAGGUCAAUACUGCCCUACAUCCCCCAUCUCCCAAGUGACAAAUUAGCCCUCGACUCUUUAAUUUAUGCAUUCCAAUUUCAUGUCCUUUGUGGAGCCAGGAGUUGGACUUGAUGUUCCUUAUGGGACCCUUCCAACUUGGGGUAUUCUAUGAUUCCACCAUAAAAUGGAAGGAGGUUCUGUACCCUAUGGUAGAGACCAAUUUCCAGCCACAGAACAUGACUUUCCUAAUUCCUCCUGUAACAUGGACAGGUAACGUGGACUCCUGGUUGUAUAUUAGAAAAAGCUUCCUCUCAGAAAGAGUGGUCAGGCACUGGAAUGGGCUGCUGUCCCUGGAGGUGUUCAAGAAACGUGAAGAUGUGGUAUUUAGGGACAUGGUUUAGUGGGCAAUAUUGGAGGUAGGUGAACGGUUGGACUAGAUGAUCUUAGAGAUCUUUCUGAACCUUAAUCAUUCUAUGAUUCUGGUCCUGUAGAUGGUGACAAUCCAGAGAAGUAGCAGGAUGUGGUCACUGUGAAUGUGGCCAGUAUCUUGGUAGGUAUCUCCAGGCUGUGAAUGCCUACCCUAAACUGCUUUGCAUCAUUUGACCUGACAGCCCGCAAGUAGCAAGAUCUCAUUUAUUCAGCUGGCAUGUGGGGCUGUGAACCUAUCUGCCAACAUUCACAAGAUGUUUCAUGGUGACAGUAAUUACUGUAAUCAGUCCCUUUAGUAGCAGGCUUGAAGCCUACUCUUUCCAUUGGCAUGGUUGAUCUGACUGCAGAAUAAAUCACGUGUUAACAGCUGGACUAAAAAUCCACCCACAGAUGUUGCUUAAUAGGAGCCUGAGUAAGUCCUCCCACUGCUGGUACAUUUAGUACUCCUAGAACAGGCAGGUGUAUAAUCUAGGAAAUUUUCCAGUUCGGCCCUUGGAGACAUGAAUCAUUAAUGUUCACUGCUAAGAAAUAAGGUCCUUUUUACCCAUAGGGGGAAAAAAAUGAAAGACCACGAACUCAGAAAAAUGGGGUAGGACACCUGGGAGGAAACAGCCACUUUUUCUUUACGCCAAAGGUAGCUAUGGGCUUUCAGUAUAAGAAAUAAUGCAGUGGUCUCUCCCUGUACUCUGAUACUUUUUCAUGUGUUAUCUGAAGCACUCGCAGUGCCUGCAAGCUGCGGUCAGAGGCGUCAGGUUGUGAAUCAACUGAAAUAGUUACGGACUGCUGCUGGUGGAAGUGUGCUCACAGAGCUCACUGCUGUGGCUGAACCGUGCCAGUUCUUGAAGGAAAUGCUCAUGGACUCACCUG
Molecule: long non-coding RNA, 19706 nt
Organism: Gallus gallus (chicken)
Lineage: Eukaryota; Metazoa; Chordata; Aves; Galliformes; Phasianidae
Exons: 17
Source: RefSeq, a predicted model, not a curated record